This 867-nucleotide ribosomal RNA is filed under the name Capillidium adiaeretum. Its description in RNAcentral is "eukaryotic LSU rRNA". It matches the Rfam family "Eukaryotic large subunit ribosomal RNA", at positions 62 to 941 of the family's 3401-position model. The record is from RNAcentral. Lineage: Eukaryota; Fungi; Entomophthoromycota; Entomophthoromycetes; Entomophthorales; Capillidiaceae.
AGAUACAAGAUUCCCUUAGUAUGGCGAAUGAAAUGGGAAAAGCUCAAAUUUAAAAUCAUUAUUUAUAAUGAAUUGUAGUUUAGAAAAAUAUAAUUACGUAUUAAAUAAUCGAAUAAUUUUAUUUGGAAAAAUAAAGCAUAGAGGGUAAAACUCCCGUAUGUAUCGACUUAUUUAAUAUUAUAAUUUUAUUUUUAAGAGUCAGAUUGUUUGGGAUUACAGUCUAAAUUAGGAGGUAAAUUUCUUUUAAAGCUAAAUACAGACAAGAGACCGAUAGCGAACAAGUACCGUAAGGGAAAGAUGAAAUAGAACCUUGCAAAGGGGUUUAAAUAGCAAGUGAAAUCGUUAAAAGGGAAACAUUUUAAACUCAAAUCGUAAUUAUAAUAAAGUACUCUGUAUUUAAAUUAUAGUUAUAAAUAUUAAAAGCUUUUUGAAUUAAAUUAUAAACUUUAGUAUAAGAUAUAAAAAAUUAUAUUUAUAUAAUUUCUUAAUAAAAAUAUUAAAGCUCGAUUUAAUUCGGAAAGUCAAUCGUAUGAUGUUUUAAUAAAAAGAGUGUUAAAAUGACCCGUCUUGAAACACGGACCAAGGAGUCUAACAUAUUUACGAGUAUUAUAAAAAAUAUAAAUUAUAAUGCGCAAUGAAAGUAAAUUUAAAGAUAAGAAAAGCUCUUUUAGGGUUUUGCACUAUCGACCGAUUAAAUAAUAUUCUUAUUAUUAGUUUGAGUUGGAGUAAAUAUGUUGGGACCCGAAAGAUGGUGAACUAUGCUUGAAUAGGGUGAAGCCAGAGGAAACUCUGGUGGAAGCUCGUNGCGAUUCUGACGUGCAAAUCGAUCGUAAAAUUUGAGUAUAGGGGCGAAAGACUAAUCGAACC